RNAcentral lists this long non-coding RNA (215 nucleotides) under Dermacentor andersoni. RNAcentral's name for it is "uncharacterized LOC126544231". The record is from RNAcentral. Lineage: Eukaryota; Metazoa; Arthropoda; Arachnida; Ixodida; Ixodidae.
ACAUUUUUUAGGAAACUAUACUUUAGUAAACCUAACACAAAGACAACACCAAGCACUAAAUAUAUACAACUGCAAAGCACGAUAUGAUGAGACUUGUCUCUUGCCACCAGAAACAAUAAAUAAGGGCACUUUCAUUCACAGAAACAUAAUGCCAUCAAUCUGUCACAGUCGUUAUUCUCGCCUAGCACAACAAUAUCCGUACAAAUGGUCAUGGC